This 468-nucleotide ribosomal RNA is filed under the name uncultured bacterium. Its description in RNAcentral is "partial 16S ribosomal RNA". It matches the Rfam family "Bacterial small subunit ribosomal RNA", at positions 28 to 507 of the family's 1533-position model. The record is from RNAcentral.
GACGAACGCUGGCGGCGUGCUUAACACAUGCAAGUCGAACGGAAAGGCCCUGCUUUUGUGGGGUGCUCGAGCGGCGAACGGGUGAGUAACACGUGAGUAACCUGCCCUUGACUUUGGGAUAACUUCAGGAAACUGGGGCUAAUACCGGAUAGGAGCUCCUGCUGCAUGGUGGGGGUUGGAAAGUUUCGGCGGUUGGGGAUGGACUCGCGGCUUAUCAGCUUGUUGGUGGGGUAGUGGCUUACCAAGGCUUUGACGGGUAGCCUGCCUGAGAGGGUGACCGGCCACAAUGGGACUGAGGUACGGCCCAGACUCCUACGGGAGGCAGCAGUGGGGAAUAUUGCACAAUGGGCGGAAGCCUGAUGCAGCAACGCCGCGUGCGGGAUGACGGCCUUCGGGUUGUAAACCGCUUUCGCCUGUGACGAAGCGUGAGUGACGGUAAUGGGUAAAGAAGCACCGGCUAACUACGUG